Molecule: ribosomal RNA, 301 nt
Filed under: uncultured bacterium
Lineage: Bacteria
Description: partial 16S ribosomal RNA
Rfam family: Bacterial small subunit ribosomal RNA
Source: RNAcentral
CAGUAGCCGCGGGAAUACGAAGGGGGCUAGCGUUGCUCGGAAUGACUGGGCGUAAAGGGCGCGUAGGCGGCGAUCAAAGUCAGGCGUGAAAUUCCUGGGCUCAACCUGGGGGCUGCGCUUGAUACUUGGUUGCUUGAGUGGGGAAGAGGGUCGUGGAAUUCCCAGUGUAGAGGUGAAAUUCGUAGAUAUUGGGAAGAACACCGGUGGCGAAGGCGGCGACCUGGUCCUUGACUGACGCUGAGGCGCGAAAGCGUGGGGAGCAAACAGGAUUAGAUACCCGUGUAGUCCCUGUCUCUUAUCC